This is a non-coding RNA of Nicotiana tabacum (common tobacco), 1774 nucleotides long. Lineage: Eukaryota; Viridiplantae; Streptophyta; Magnoliopsida; Solanales; Solanaceae. The record is from RefSeq and is a predicted model, not a curated record.
AAUAUCGCUUCACUGUAUCCCGCCCUCCUUUAUUCCUUAAAACCCUAAUCUUCAAACAUUUCUCGCUUCUACGCUGUGGAUUGUGGCUUAGUCUGCUCUCGAUCUUCCGAGGGACAAUGAGUCGAUCGAGUAGGACACUUUAUGUUGGCAAUCUUCCGGGCGAUAUUCGUGAGCGUGAAGUGGAAGAUCUGUUUUACAAGUAUGGCCCAAUAGCACAUAUUGAGCUGAAAAUUCCACCAAGACCCCCUGGUUAUGCUUUUGUUGAGUUUGAAGAAGUUCGUGAUGCUGAAGAUGCUAUUCGUGGUCGUGAUGGCUAUGAUUUUGAUGGGCACCGUCUGAGGGUUGAGCUUGCACAUGGCGGGCGUGGUCAGUCGUCAAACGAUCGUUAUGGUGGUGGUGGUGGUGGUGGUCGUGGUCAACGUGGUGGAGUGUCCAGACGUUCUGAUUAUCGAGUGAAAAUUACAGGAUUACCCCAUUCAGCGUCGUGGCAGGAUCUCAAGGAUCACAUGCGUCGAGCUGGGGAUGUUUGUUUCUCCCAAGUUUUCCGUGAACGGAGGGGGACUACUGGUAUUGUGGAUUAUACAAACUACGAUGACAUGAAAUAUGCUAUCAAAAAGCUUGAUGACUCUGAGUUUCGGAAUGCCUUUUCUCGUUCAACAAUUCGGGUUAAGGAAUAUGACCACAGCCGCAGCCAAAGCCGCAGCCGAAGCCGCAGCCGUUCUUACUCCAGAGGAAAGAGUGGCAGUAGAAGCCGUAGCCGAAGUAGAAGUGUCAGUCGUAGCAGGAGCAAAAGCAAAUCUCCUAAAGUUAAAUCUUCAAGGCGCUCAAGAUCUCGUUCAAGGUCCGUCUCUUCUCGGUCCCGUUCUGGGUCAAAAGGGCAUUUUAUCUCAAGAUGUUGGAUAUAUGCGGCAGUUUGUGGAUUUUGCAUAUUAGGAUCUUGAGUGGAUAUGCAUAUGGUCUUGCCUGCAACUCUUUUUGGUUGUGGAGGUACGAUGUUUUCUAGAUGGCAACUUUGGGUCCUUUAUGAUGUCUCUGAUCUAAUGAGCAUCGUGAAAUGUUCCGUGGGUGCUAGAUUGGGAUCAUGAAGAUCAUGGAUUCUGUGGUGGAGCUGGACUGGGGAACUAACUGCCACCUGAAUUUGGAUCACCACCUAUUUGUGAUCUCCAUCAAGGUCCAGAUCACCAGCACCAUCUGUAAGUUAAAUCUCUGUUUUGGAAGUGAACUGGAUACCUCAAAAUCAAACAUGUCGGGAUCAUCCGUCUUGUCUUACUAUGUCAUUGUUUUUUGAAUACCUGGUCUUUUUAAAUUGGAAUCUCUCUUUCUUUGGCUACAUUUCUUUGUUUUUUUCUCAACUGUUUAAUUGCAGCGCCCAAAACAUUUGAGUAAAAGUCCAAAAAGACGCAGUCCCAGCCAAAGCCAGAGCCGGAGUCGUAGUCUUAGUCGUAGUCGGAGUAGAGGUUUAUCCAGUUAAGAUUGUUGGAGUCAUCUCUUGACUUGGGUUGCUGUGAUUGCGAGUGCCAUCGUGCCUGGAAGAUUAGUUGCAUAGCCAACAGUUCGGGAGUCUUAAGUGCCCGAAAGAGUGUUGUUCUCCUUACAUUAAAGGAUUUCUGUAUUAUUGAACGCCAGACGAUAAUAAUUGUUAUACUGAACGUGGCAUCUCUAAGACUUGGUAAACACUGCAAUAUUAUAGUAGAACUUUAUAGGCUUUCUAGCUGCGUGAUGGUAAGAGAUGGAACUAAUUUCCUUUUUACAUUCACAUUAUGAAUUUCCUUGA